UACGAAGGGGGGCUAGCGUUGCUCGGAAUUACUGGGCGUAAAGCGCACGUAGGCGGCUUUCUAAGUCGGGGGUGAAAGCCUGUGGCUCAACCACAGAAUUGCCUUCGAUACUGUUUGGCUUGAGUAUGGUAGAGGUCAGUGGAACUGCGAGUGUAGAGGUGAAAUUCGUAGAUAUUCGCAAGAACACCAGUGGCGAAGGCGGCUGACUGGACCAUUACUGACGCUGAGACACGAAGCGUGGGUAGCAAACAGG
RNAcentral lists this ribosomal RNA (253 nucleotides) under uncultured bacterium. RNAcentral describes it as "partial 16S ribosomal RNA". It matches the Rfam family "Bacterial small subunit ribosomal RNA", at positions 524 to 776 of the family's 1533-position model. The record is from RNAcentral.